RNAcentral lists this small RNA (92 nucleotides) under Tursiops truncatus (common bottlenose dolphin). RNAcentral's name for it is "7SK RNA (ENSTTRG00000024783.1)". Lineage: Eukaryota; Metazoa; Chordata; Mammalia; Artiodactyla; Delphinidae. The record is from RNAcentral.
CUCUAUUCAAGGGUCUGUGGGUGGCCCUAAUUGCUUGAUAGAACCUCCAAACAAGUUGCUAAGAAUCACUUAUAGGAGAAAGUAGUGUUGGC